This 253-nucleotide ribosomal RNA is filed under the name uncultured bacterium. RNAcentral's name for it is "partial 16S ribosomal RNA". It matches the Rfam family "Bacterial small subunit ribosomal RNA", at positions 524 to 776 of the family's 1533-position model. The record is from RNAcentral.
UACGAGGGGGGCAAGCGUUGUUCGGAAUUACUGGGCGUAAAGGGCGCGUAGGUGGUUCUGUAUGUCUACCGUGAAAGCAUACAGCUCAACUGUAUUUUGUCGGUAGAAACUGCAGGACUUGAGGCUGGGAGGGGCUGGUGGAAUUCCCUGUGUAGCGGUGAAAUGCGUAGAGAUGGGGGAGAACACUCGUGGCGAAGGCGGGACUCUGGGCCGAUACUGACGCUGAGGAGCGAAAGCGUGGGGAGCAAACAGG